AUGAUCACUCUAGCAUGUGUGCUCACGGCGCAACAUCCAUCGUUAUCGGGUGACACCUCUUCCCAUACUUUGUCGCUGCGGGUGGCGUUCUUCUACACCUCCCUAUACCUCAUCGCCAUCACGCAGGGCGCAGACAAUCCAAAUGCAUUGGCCUUUGCCGCUGACCAGUUCGAUUCCAACCACCCCAGGGAAUGCGUCGCCCGUAGCUCCUUGUUCAACUGGUGGUACUUCUCACUGGCUGUAGGUAUCACUAUUUCUGUUGGUGUAGUCGGCUACAUACAGGAGAACCUUGGCUGGGGAAUUGGGUUUGGCAUGCUCUGCACCAUCAUGCUCGGUGCCUUAGUUGUCUUCUUCCUUGGCACCCCUACAUACCGCUUCUAUGCACCCACUCCCGGUGCUGAGAACCCCUUUGCCCUCCUUGCUCGUAGCCUUGCCGCGCUAGCCCAACAUGACAAUGCCACUUCGAGCUCAUUGCUUGGUAACAAAAAAGAAUACCAGGUAGAACAGAAAGAGGAUGCGGUAAAAAAGGAGGAGGCGCGUGGCAUAGUACGGUUGCUGUCAAUUUGGGCGGCAUGCCUGGCAUAUGGUGUGGUGUUUGCGCAGUUCAUGACACUCUUUAACAAGCAGUCCCGCACCCUGGACCGCCGCAUCUUUGGCAGCCUGGAGUUACCGCCGGCGGCGCUUCAGAUGUUAGGGCCUGCAACAACUCUGUUGUUCGUCCCUAUAUAUGAUUGUGUGCUGGUGCCGAUGCUGAGGCACGCGACAGGCACCCCGUCGGGUCUGACGCUACUACAACGUGUUGGCACGGGCAUGACAUUGACCCUGGCUACGAUGUUGGUGGCGGCAUUGGUGGAAACACGACGCCUUGAGACAGCACGCGAGCAUGGGCUGGUGGACAAUAUUGACGCAACAGUGCCAAUGUGCUGGGCGUGGUUGGUGCCACAAUAUGUUUUGAUCGGGGUGGCAGGCGUGUUCGCGGAAGUCGGGAUGCAGGAAUUCUUCUACGACCAGAUGCCCGGUGAGCUACGCAGCUUGGGCAUGUCACUCUACUAUAGCGUGAUCGGCAUGGGCAACUUCAUCAGUGGCGCUCUGAUCUCCCUGAUCGACCGCAUCACCAGCCGCGGUGGUGGCGACAGCUGGUUCGCGGACAAUCUCAACCGUGGGCACCUCGACUACUUCUACUGA
This 1185-nucleotide ribosomal RNA is filed under the name Triticum aestivum (bread wheat). RNAcentral's name for it is "partial small subunit ribosomal RNA". The record is from RNAcentral. Lineage: Eukaryota; Viridiplantae; Streptophyta; Magnoliopsida; Poales; Poaceae.